Molecule: long non-coding RNA, 2948 nt
Filed under: Oreochromis niloticus (Nile tilapia)
Lineage: Eukaryota; Metazoa; Chordata; Actinopteri; Cichliformes; Cichlidae
Description: lncRNA (ENSONIG00000031984.1)
Source: RNAcentral
AUGCCUUUGGAUCUCUCUGUUCCCGCUUCAAGAAUUAAGACAGAGUCAAGGAAGAGAACUGGGGAUGUGAUAAAGAUACCAGGAAAGGAUCCUUCAAGCCUUGACCAGUUGAGGCAAGCAAUUGUUGAAGAAGUCAAGAAGGCUGAGAAGAACCUGCCCCUCAUUAGAAAGUUGAUGGAGACCACAUUUCCCCUGCGCAGACAAACCAUAGUGAUGUCCUGCCCACCAGUGAAGGAGCUCUUGGACCUCUGGCCUGCUCUAAAAAUGGAGUCUGAGGUAAUAUGGAUCAGCUCUCUUUAAAAUGAAAAUUGUAAUUCUUACUCAUGUGGCAGCUUUUUGCUUUUUGCUGCUUUAUAAAGGUGUGCGAGAUUCUUUAAAUUGAACUGUAUUGUCCUUCUGCUGUAGUUGUAUGCAGAGUUUCAGCGGAUUACAAAUCAGAACCUGCCCAAUACAUUCUAUGCUGAACUUGACCGCCAUCUUCCUCGACUGAUGACCUUAUUCAGACAGAAGGCAUCAAAACUGGGAAGACAGCAGAUGCCCUGGCUGAAAUUCUAAGAAUUCACGAUGAACAGGUAAUAAUAGAUUGUUACACAUUUCAUAGGUUGAACCAGUGGAACAUUGGACAGGUUCAAUGAUUUAAAUGAGCUUUUUGAAUUUUGCUAUUAGUCCACUUUGUGUUUGCUAUUUGUCUGACUGUAUUAAAGAUGUGAACAGGUUAUUUGUGGACAUAUGUUCUCAUUUGACUGUUGUUGUUGUUGUUCAGUAAACUCACCAGUAUAUACAAUUCUGUUUUUAUCUGGCAAUAGGAAAUCCAUGAUAUCCACACCAAGCGCACUACCGUUCUCCACGCCCUUCCUGUCUAUCUGCGUGAGGAUGUCUCUGGAUUUUUCAGAACCUGCACUGUGAGUGUCCUUAAGUUUCUAACAGAUACUACUGUGUAUAUAAACAGUGCAUCAAAGUACAAACAUGUAUUUUGAUGCACUGUUUGGACUUACCUUUGUUUAGUCUACCCAUACGGUUUCCAUGUAUGGUCUUUUCUGUCUCCUCACUACGAAUGAACUGAAUUGGUGUUUUGUUGAAAGUGAUAAGAUGUUUAGUAAAACAUUUUCCUGUGUAUUUCCUUUAGCUUAGUUUCAGUCUAUCUCACACCACUUGAUUCUCUGGUGAAUUAGCUGAUUUAUGUGUGCAGAACAUGGAUCUUCUGUUUUUCACCUCUUACAGUGAGACCCAGGUCUCCCUUGUAAAAGAGGUAUUGGAUCUCAACGGGAGUUGGUAAAAUGAGAAAUUAUAUGUCGUCUGUUGUAUUUCUUGGGUUAGAUUGUGAUUAGUAUCUCUUUUUCAUUCAUUCAGGACGAAUCUGAUGAGUUGGAGCUUGAUGGUGUUGAAGUGGCCCUCUUCACUGUCAUCAGUGACCAUGACACGACAAGUCCAGUUCACUACCAACCUGUGAAAACCUCUGUCGUCAUUGAAAGUGAUGCCAUGGUCAGUCUCCCCAGAUUUGGUGAAGCCUUCCUGGUAAUGUUUGGACUGAUCUAUGCACUUCACCUCAGCUACCCCAAAGCCCUGACCAACACUUUAGAAUUUACUCAAAAGAUUUUACUUGGUCUAGAAAGUGGUAAACUGUCACCCAGGUUACAGACCCUCAAGAAUGACUUGGUUAUGUAGGAACUCAUCUGAAAGAAGGAUGCAGGGUAAAGCGUUAUAAAAGGCUAGUUCAAAGUUCUCUCCUUUUAUCUAAAUAAUGCCUCAAAACGUUAUUGCAUUACUCGACAGGUGUUCAGCCAAUAGGUCCAAACUAUACAACGUGCCUUUGUCCUCAUUAACAUAAUGCAAAGCAACACUAAUGUUUUGUAUGUUUUAAUGUUUUUUGUAAUACUAUUUCUAAAACAUUGUGGGCUGCGCAAGAUGACCUAAAUUUUACUGUUUGAUACUGGUUAAUGUAAAACAAAUAGCAUUGUAAUUCACUCAAAUUGCUGCCCUGUUGCCUUAUUCAGAUAUUAGCCAGAGAGCCAAAGGCACAUUUUGAUAUUAUUUAUUAUUAUUUGGCAUUAUUUUUUAUUACUCUGACAGUUUUCCUGACUAAACAAUUUUUACUUAUUUUAUAUAUUUAUAUUUAUAUAUAUAAUAUAUUUAUAUUUACUUACCUACUUAUUUAUAUUUAUAAAUGUUUUUGUUAAUUAUUUUUGAUUUAUUUAAUUUAAAAAAAAAAAAGUAUUUAAUUUCAACAUAAUGUGCUAAAAGGGAGCAGACAAGAUACUGUUCAAUGGCAGAUGUUUAUGACUUUUGCAUAUUAAGUUACCGAUACUCAUUUUAAUUGAGGCAAUCAAUUGCCUCAAAAAUUUUAAGUUUUGAGUCACAUGUUUUUAAGUAUCAAGUAGUCAACAUAUUUGACUAACGUGUACUUAAAAUAAUGACAACACAAACUAAUAAACAUUUGAGUUUUGUUAACAUAAAAAUGUUAUGGUUGUGUACUUAUUUUUUAUAAGUUCUGUGAACUUAUUCCUUUGAAUUUGUAAACUUGAAACCGUAAGUCAUAUUAACUGCACAUAUUUGAGUUGACCGUUCUCAAAAGAUACAAGUACCAUGUAAUCCAAACUUUUAUGUUCUGGAAAAAUUUGACUUUUAAGUUGAUCAACUCAAAAAAAUUGAGGCAAUCGAUUGCCUCAAUUUUUUUGAGUUCUGGUAACUUAUUCGGGUUUACAGUGUGCCAACACUUAACCAGUUGCUGGAGAAGCUGAGGAAGCUGGAGUCAUCUUGCAAAAUGCGUAGACCUCUUGUUGAUGCACUGUGGGAUCCGGAAACGUUUCGGAGAAAUAAUGAAAGACAGUGAUUGCAGCUCCAGUACUUCUACCAAGAUUGAGAACAUUAUCACUCAGAGGGUGCCAACUGGAACCAAAAGUGGUUCUUUAGACUGAUGCCAUAGAAGAACGUUUUUGGUGCCACAAAGA